AAAGGAAUUGACGGGGGCCCGCACAAGCAGCGGAGCAUGUGGUUUAAUUCGAAGCAACGCGAAGAACCUUACCAGGUCUUGACAUCCAGUAAAACCCUGAGAGAUCAGGUGUGCCUUCGGGCAUACUGAGACAGGUGGUGCAUGGUUGUCGUCAGCUCGUGUCGUGAGAUGUUGGGUUAAGUCCCGCAACGAGCGCAACCCUUACUAUUUGUUGCUAACGCGUAGAGGCGAGGACUCAAAUGGGACUGCCGGGGACAACUCGGAGGAAGGUGGGGACGACGUCAAAUCAUCAUGCCCCUUAUGACCUGGGCUACACACGUGCUACAAUGGCCACUACAGAGAGCUGCGAACUCGCAAGAGCAAGCGAAUCUCAAAAAAGUGGUCCCAGUUCGGAUUGUGGGCUGCAACCCGCCCACAUGAAGUCGGAGUUGCUAGUAAUCGCGAAUCAGCAUGUCGCGGUGAAUACGUUCCCGGGCCUUGUACACACCGCCCGU
Molecule: ribosomal RNA, 494 nt
Filed under: uncultured bacterium
Lineage: Bacteria
Description: bacterial SSU rRNA
Rfam family: Bacterial small subunit ribosomal RNA
Source: RNAcentral